This 63-nucleotide transfer RNA is filed under the name Staphylinoidea sp. 3 KM-2017. RNAcentral's name for it is "tRNA-Leu". Lineage: Eukaryota; Metazoa; Arthropoda; Insecta; Coleoptera. The record is from RNAcentral.
AUUAUUUUGGCAGAUUAGUGCAUUAAAUUUAGAAUUUAAGUAUGUAUAUUAGUACAAAUAAUA